Molecule: small nuclear RNA, 21 nt
Filed under: Arabidopsis thaliana (thale cress)
Lineage: Eukaryota; Viridiplantae; Streptophyta; Magnoliopsida; Brassicales; Brassicaceae
Description: snRNA_09305
Source: RNAcentral
AGGGGUCUAUUUAUAGCAAAU